This 434-nucleotide long non-coding RNA is filed under the name Musa acuminata (dwarf banana). RNAcentral's name for it is "long non-coding RNA (MACU_LNC005930)". The record is from RNAcentral. Lineage: Eukaryota; Viridiplantae; Streptophyta; Magnoliopsida; Zingiberales; Musaceae.
UUCCUGAUUCACUAAGAAGUUGAUCAUGUGAAAAUGUUGUAUUUACCUACGAUGGAUUUCUAAGUAAGCUUGAUAAACCUGUGGUAUCUUUGUCAUUUUUCAAUUAAAACUAGGAACUAUGAAUAUCUAUAAAAACACAAGAAUAUGAAGAUCUGGAAUAUGUGAUGGAACUUGGAUAGUGGUGACACAAGGACCCUAAUUGGAGAUGGCAGCAGGUCGGGGUUUCCUCAGGCACCCAAGUUCAUCCAACCCACUUAAACCUUGUUUGUCUGCCCUUUACUCUUGUUUGAGAUGGUUCAAGCAGGAAAAUAGGUACUUGACUCAGGUUGGGCUUUAGAUUCGUGUACCUAGAUAGCGGGGUUUGGGUUCACAUACCCCAACUCAUCAUCAGGAAAAUAGGUACUUGACUCAGGUUGGGCUUUAGAUUCGUGUAC